ACCUUAGCGCGUUACGGGGCUCGGCCCUGCUCCCCGUCCUUGGAGGGGCGCCGGAUCUACCGCGCCGCGCCGCCGCCGGCUGCCUGGAGUCCCCGAGCCGCCGGCAUGUGGCGGCGUGUCUCCGUGUAAACGCCCUCACCUUCGCCUUCGCUUCGCCUUCGUCUUCGCAGACAAAGAGCCGAGGUCUCCUGCCUGCGGUGGCCGAGGCUCGGGGAGGAAGCGCUCGACGCCGACGCCGGGCUGAGCUUGCACCCAGAGACCCCGGCGCAAUGAAGAGGCUGCCAGGUUACUGCAGGCACCAGGCAGCUUCCCGGGGAUGUGCCCCAGCUGGCGCUGGCUUCUCCAUUGCCUAGCAGAAACCGCUGCCCGUCUUGUCCAUCACUUGGCUUCACUCCUGCCAGGGCUGGAAUGGAGAUGGGGUUACACUGAGCUCCAGGAAGAUUCCCUGGGGGAGCAAGAGGCUGCUUCCUGCUGGAGCCAGCAUAAUGCGAAUGGAGAGGAACCUGUGUGGCUAAAAGCCUUCGCCGCCCACUGGAGCUGUUGAAUAUUUAUUCCUACUGGAAAUGAAAGGAGAGAAGAAAUCUAGGCAGCUCAGAGUGAAUCUCUACCCAGAUGAGAAGCGCCUGCGGCAGGGGGUUGUGUUUGUGCUGCCUGCAGUCCAUAAAAUAGCUCAUCUGGUCAGAUGAUGAAUGUUAUACAAAGGGCUUAGGCAAUAGUGGCCUGUCCGUCAACCCAACCCACUGCUUAGCUGGCCAUAGCUCACCUAGGGGCAGCAGUGAGGGCCCCAGCGCCUGCCAGCUAAACCCAGCUUAUCGCUAGUCCGUUGGGGAUGGGGGAUUGGCAUAAGGUCUAUGCCCUGGACUGAGGGCACAACCAGCACAACCACAGCUCUGCCACUGACUACAUGGCUCCUGAGCUGAUCUGGUCUCUCCCUCCAGCAAUGGGACCAGAGGGGAAGAAGCUCUCUGCUCUGGCUUGGGUCCAUAGGCUGCAGGGCUGGCCCUGUAUCAGGUUCAGUGGAUCCUCAAAGCACGGAUUGCGUUGGCAGAUGGGCAUCUCUCCAUACCCUGAGCUGAGGAAGAAGGUGCUGGUGCGAUUUGGGGGGAGGGAUUGGUUCAUUUCUCUCCUGCUGAGCCCUAGACAGAGAUCUAGGGGCCCCCGGGGGUUCCCUUUCUCUCACCCUUUCUUUCGUGGCAGGAUGCCCCUUGCCACAGUCUGACUCUUCCCCCACCCUGGCGCUGCACAGGUUUCAUGCUAGGUUACAGACGGAUGAGGCCCAUCAACUCCCACCCCCCGGGGAGCCAGGCCAUGACUGUUCACAGGACAGCACACACAUCUGGGCUUUGACCAGUCCAGCUUAAACAAUUCCCACAGGCAGACAGAGUCAUUGUCAAGUCCUCUCUCCCACCCUCCCUCCCUGCUGCUCUAACUCCUACUAGCCACAGAGCCCAAGACCCAGCACUGCCUCAUCUCUGGCCUUGGCUCCUUGGGAUGCUGUCCAGACACAACGCUGUGUUCUCUGGACCACCUGAGCCCUGAGGGCUGUAUUCUCAGAAGGCCUGGGGUUUGCUCAGCUCCAGCACAGCAUACUCCCUGCCCCCAUGCUGCAGUCACAGACCCAUGCAGUUAUGUUUUACCCCCACCUCGGCCUCUCCAAUGUAGUCAUUUCUCAGGUGACUUGCUGUAAGAAUAGAACCCAAGGACUGAACCCUCCUUUGCCAGCCCAGCUGGAUCAGUUCCCCCUGCUCAGUUAGCUUCUUUUCCCUCCUGGUGACUAGCUCCCCAUCCCCACCAUACCCCAGCACAGGUCACUUACCCAAGCUGCUCCUCUGUUCAGAGCUCUAGCCACAGAGCAGAUCUGUCCCAGCGUCGGCUGCCCUGGGAGCACAUACUAAAGUGCCUUGGAAAUAACUAGGUUAGGCAGCUGGAGGACAAGCUCUGUGUGUGCGCCUGUAGCUUUAAAUUCUCUACCUGUCACUUGUGCCUGCUCACAGUCUCCUUCCCUGGCAGGGAGGAGGGGAUGCUGCUGCUGCAGUGAGGUUACUCACAGUCAAACUCCAGCCACUGCUGCUCAGCUCCAUUGCCUUGGAAAAACCUGCCAUCCUUCCCAGCACCCUCCCGUUCCUGCAGAGGAUGGGGCAGGGGGGGCAGCACGGGGAGGAGAUACUGGAAAUGACUCUCCAUGUCACAGCUAUUUUCAGAAUCACCCUGGUUCCCUCCCGCCCUCGCCCCCCAAUGUUUGCACAUGACAAACCAGAAUAAGAACAGAGUUGCUGGUUCUUAAGGCCCCCGUGGUGGUGGUGGCUUCUAGGUAGCUGGGGUUGGCCAACCUGCUCCACUGGGGCGCUGCUGUUGGACUCCUCAGCCAUUCCAACAGAGAUAAUAAGGGGCUGGUCUGAGCAGCAUUGCCCAGGCCUGAGAACUUCCCCCAGUGCCCCCUGCAUGGAGCCCAAUAGCCAGCGGCUGAGCUGCUGAUUGUUGCUCACAAGAUGCCCAGCCUGAGUUCUAGCUCUCUAUUGGUCCAUACCUGCCUCCAGCCGACUAGUAUCUGAGCACCUCACGCUCUUCACCGUAUUGAUCCCCUCAGCCUGCCUGUCACGAGAUAGGGCAGCACUCUUUGAGAUCAAUAAACAUAAAGGACUUUACAAGAGCUAGUUGUUGCUAUCCGCAUUUUACAGAUGGGAAACUGAGGCACAAAGGGAUUAAGAGUCUUGCCCAAGAUCACAUAGACUGGAGUAGAGUAGGGAAUUGAACCCAUGUCUAAUUUUUCCCAGGCUAGGGUGUUAGCCACUGUCCAGCCUUCCUCCCAGUUAA
Dermochelys coriacea (leatherback sea turtle) is the source of this 2814-nucleotide long non-coding RNA. RefSeq lists it as uncharacterized. The transcript has 3 exons. The record is from RefSeq and is a predicted model, not a curated record. NCBI's taxonomy places the organism in Eukaryota, Metazoa, Chordata, Testudines, Dermochelyidae.